GCAGUCGAAGGCAGCAUGAUCUAGCUUGCUAGAUUGAUGGCGAGUGGCGAACGGGUGAGUAAUACAUCGGAACGUGCCCUGUAGUGGGGGAUAACUAGUCGAAAGAUUAGCUAAUACCGCAUACGACCUGAGGGUGAAAGUGGGGGACCGCAAGGCCUCAUGCUAUAGGAGCGGCCGAUGUCUGAUUAGCUAGUUGGUGAGGUAAAGGCUCGCCAAGGCGACGAUCAGUAGCUGGUCUGAGAGGACGAUCAGCCACACUGGGACUGAGACACGGCCCAGACUCCUACGGGAGGCAGCAGUGGGGAAUUUUGGACAAUGGGGGCAACCCUGAUCCAGCAAUGCCGCGUGUGUGAAGAAGGCCUUCGGGUUGUAAAGCACUUUUGUCCGGAAAGAAAUCGCACUUACUAAUAUUAGGUGUGGAUGACGGUACCGGAAGAAUAAGGACCGGCUAACUACGUGCCAGCAGCCGCGGUAAUACGUAGGGUCCAAGCGUUAAUCGGAAUUACUGGGCGUAAAGCGUGCGCAGGCGGUUGUGCAAGACCGAUGUGAAAUCCCCGGGCUUAACCUGGGAAUUGCAUUGGUGACUGCACGGCUAGAGUGUGUCAGAGGGGGGUAGAAUUCCACGUGUAGCAGUGAAAUGCGUAGAGAUGUGGAGGAAUACCGAUGGCGAAGGCAGCCCCCUGGGAUAACACUGAUGCUCAUGCACGAAAGCGUGGGGAGCAAACAGGAUUAGAUACCCUGGUAGUCCACGCCCUAAACGAUGUCAACUAGUUGUUGGGGAUUCAUUUCCUUAGUAACGUAGCUAACGCGUGAAGUUGACCGCCUGGGGAGUACGGUCGCAAGAUUAAAACUCAAAGGAAUUGACGGGGACCCGCACAAGCGGUGGAUGAUGUGGAUUAAUUCGAUGCAACGCGAAAAACCUUACCUACCCUUGACAUGCCACUAACGAAGCAGAGAUGCAUUAGGUGCUCGAAAGAGAAAGUGGACACAGGUGCUGCAUGGCUGUCGUCAGCUCGUGUCGUGAGAUGUUGGGUUAAGUCCCGCAACGAGCGCAACCCUUGUCUCUAGUUGCUACGAAAGGGCACUCUAGAGAGACUGCCGGUGACAAACCGGAGGAAGGUGGGGAUGACGUCAAGUCCUCAUGGCCCUUAUGGGUAGGGCUUCACACGUCAUACAAUGGUGCAUACAGAGGGUUGCCAAGCCGCGAGGUGGAGCUAAUCCCAGAAAAUGCAUCGUAGUCCGGAUCGUAGUCUGCAACUCGACUACGGAAGCUGGAAUCGCUA
RNAcentral lists this ribosomal RNA (1283 nucleotides) under uncultured Ralstonia sp. RNAcentral describes it as "bacterial SSU rRNA". It matches the Rfam family "Bacterial small subunit ribosomal RNA", at positions 57 to 1337 of the family's 1533-position model. Lineage: Bacteria; Pseudomonadati; Pseudomonadota; Betaproteobacteria; Burkholderiales; Burkholderiaceae. The record is from RNAcentral.